This 503-nucleotide ribosomal RNA is filed under the name uncultured bacterium. Its description in RNAcentral is "partial 16S ribosomal RNA". It matches the Rfam family "Bacterial small subunit ribosomal RNA", at positions 30 to 523 of the family's 1533-position model. The record is from RNAcentral.
AUUGAACGCUGGCGGCAGGCUUAACACAUGCAAGUCGAGCGGGGUGAUGGUGCUUGCACUAUCACUUAGCGGCGGACGGGUGAGUAAUGCUUAGGAAUCUGCCUAUUAGUGGGGGACAACAUCUCGAAAGGGAUGCUAAUACCGCAUACGUCCUACGGGAGAAAGCAGGGGAUCACUUGUGACCUUGCGCUAAUAGAUGAGCCUAAGUCGGAUUAGCUAGUUGGUGGGGUAAAGGCCUACCAAGGCGACGAUCUGUAGCGGGUCUGAGAGGAUGAGCCGCCACACUGGGACUGAGACACGGCCCAGACUCCUCAGGGAGGCAGCAGUGGGGAAUAUUGGACAAUGGGGGGAACCCUGAUCCAGCCAUGCCGCGUGUGUGAAGAAGGCCUUAUGGUUGUAAAGCACUUUAAGCGAGGAGGAGGCUCUUUUGGUUAAUACCCAAGAUGAGUGGACGUUACUCGCAGAAUAAGCACCGGCUAACUCUGUGCCAGCAGCCGCGGUAA